ACACCGUUGGUGAAACGGUAUCAUGCAUCGUUGCCAUUGAGAAACCGACUUCUUCCAACAUUCGAUGCGGCAAGGGUUCGACUCCCUUACGGUGUA
RNAcentral lists this transfer RNA (96 nucleotides) under Kwoniella mangroviensis CBS 8507. Its description in RNAcentral is "tRNA-Gly". It matches the Rfam family "tRNA". From Rfam's summary of the family: Transfer RNA (tRNA) molecules are approximately 80 nucleotides in length. Their secondary structure includes four short double-helical elements and three loops (D, anti-codon, and T loops). The record is from RNAcentral. RNAcentral also lists the same sequence under 2 other names. Lineage: Eukaryota; Fungi; Basidiomycota; Tremellomycetes; Tremellales; Cryptococcaceae.